AGUGAACGCUGGCGGUAGGCCUAACACAUGCAAGUCGAACGGCAGCACAGUAAGAGCUUGCUCUUACGGGUGGCGAGUGGCGGAUGGGUGAGGAAUACAUCGGAAUCUACUUUUUCGUGGGGGAUAACGUAGGGAAACUUACGCUAAUACCGCAUACGACCUACGGGUGAAAGCAGGGGAUCUUCGGACCUUGCGCGAUUGAAUGAGCCGAUGUCGGAUUAGCUAGUUGGCGGGGUAAAGGCCCACCAAGGCGACGAUCCGUAGCUGGUCUGAGAGGAUGAUCAGCCACACUGGAACGGGGACACGGUCCAGACCCCUACGGGAGGCAGCAGUGGGGAAUAUUGGACAAUGGGCGCAAGCCUGAUCCAGCCAUACCGCGUGGGUGAAGAAGGCCUUCGGGUUGUAAAGCCCUUUUGUUGGGAAAGAAAAGCAGCAGGUUAAUACCCCGCUGUUCUGACGGUACCCAAAGAAUAAGCACCGGCUAACUUCGUG
Molecule: ribosomal RNA, 492 nt
Filed under: uncultured bacterium
Lineage: Bacteria
Description: partial 16S ribosomal RNA
Rfam family: Bacterial small subunit ribosomal RNA
Source: RNAcentral